GAGUUUGAUCAUGGCUCAGAUUGAACGCUGGCGGCAGGCUUAACACAUGCAAGUCGAGCGGGGGAAGGUAGCUUGCUACCGGACCUAGCGGCGGACGGGUGAGUAAUGCUUAGGAAUCUGCCUAUUAGUGGGGGACAACAUCUCGAAAGGGAUGCUAAUACCGCAUACGUCCUACGGGAGAAAGCAGGGGAUCUUCGGACCUUGCGCUAAUAGAUGAGCCUAAGUCGGAUUAGCUAGUUGGUGGGGUAAAGGCCUACCAAGGCGACGAUCUGUAGCGGGUCUGAGAGGAUGAUCCGCCACACUGGGACUGAGACACGGCCCAGACUCCUACGGGAGGCAGCAGUGGGGAAUAUUGGACAAUGGGGGGAACCCUGAUCCAGCCAUGCCGCACUGUGUGUGAAGAAGGCCUUAUGGUUGUAAAGCACUUUAAGCGAGGAGGAGGCUACUUUAGUUAAUACCUAGAGAUAGUGGACGUUACUCGCAGAAUAAGCACCGGCUAACUCUGUGCCAGCAGCCGCGGUAAUACAGAGGGUGCGAGCGUUAAUCGGAUUUACUGGGCGUAAAGCGUGCGUAGGCGGCUUAUUAAGUCGGAUGUGAAAUCCCCGAGCUUAACUUGGGAAUUGCAUUCGAUACUGGUGAGCUAGAGUAUGGGAGAGGAUGGUAGAAUUCCAGGUGUAGCGGUGAAAUGCGUAGAGAUCUGGAGGAAUACCGAUGGCGAAGGCAGCCAUCUGGCCUAAUACUGACGCUGAGGUACGAAAGCAUGGGGAGCAAACAGGAUUAGAUACCCUGGUAGUCCAUGCCGUAAACGAUGUCUACUAGCCGUUGGGGCCUUUGAGGCUUUAGUGGCGCAGCUAACGCGAUAAGUAGACCGCCUGGGGAGUACGGUCGCAAGACUAAAACUCAAAUGAAUUGACGGGGGCCCGCACAAGCGGUGGAGCAUGUGGCGUUUAAUUCGAUGCAACGCGAAGAACCUUACCUGGCCUUGACAUACUAGAAACUUUCCAGAGAUGGAUUGGUGCCUUCGGGAAUCUAGAUACAGGUGCUGCAUGGCUGUCGUCAGCGCGUGUCGUGAGAUGUUGGGUUAAGUCCCGCAACGAGCGCAACCCUUUUCCUUACUUGCCAGCAUUUCGGAUGGGAACUUUAAGGAUACUGCCAGUGACAAACUGGAGGAAGGCGGGGACGACGUCAAGUCAUCAUGGCCCUUACGGCCAGGGCUACACACGUGCUACAAUGGUCGGUACAAAGGGUUGCUACACAGCGAUGUGAUGCUAAUCUCAAAAAGCCGAUCGUAGUCCGGAUUGGAGUCUGCAACUCGACUCCAUGAAGUCGGAAUCGCUAGUAAUCGCGGAUCAGAAUGCCGCGGUGAAUACGUUCCCGGGCCUUGUACACACCGCCCGUCACACCAUGGGAGUUUGUUGCACCAGAAGUAGCUAGCCUAACUGCAAAGAGGGCGGUUACCACGGUGUGGCCGAUGACUGGGGUGAAGUCGUAACAAGGUA
RNAcentral lists this ribosomal RNA (1499 nucleotides) under Acinetobacter baumannii. RNAcentral's name for it is "bacterial SSU rRNA". It matches the Rfam family "Bacterial small subunit ribosomal RNA". The record is from RNAcentral. Lineage: Bacteria; Pseudomonadati; Pseudomonadota; Gammaproteobacteria; Moraxellales; Moraxellaceae.